RNAcentral lists this ribosomal RNA (776 nucleotides) under uncultured bacterium. Its description in RNAcentral is "bacterial SSU rRNA". It matches the Rfam family "Bacterial small subunit ribosomal RNA", at positions 35 to 839 of the family's 1533-position model. The record is from RNAcentral.
GCUGGCGGCAGGCCUAACACAUGCAAGUCGAACGGAGUUAUAUUGUAGCUUGCUAUGGUAUAACUUGGUGGCAAACGGGUGAGUAAUGUAUAGGAAUCUACCUAGUAGUACGGAAUAAUUGUUGGAAACGGCAACUAAUACCGUAUACGCCCUACGGGGGAAAAAUUUAUUGCUAUUAGAUGAGCCUAUAUUAGAUUAGCUAGUUGGUGGAGUAAUAGCCUACCAAGGCAAUGAUCUAUAGCUGAUCUGAGAGGAUGAUCAGCCACACUGGAACUGAGAUACGGUCCAGACUCCUACGGGAGGCAGCAGUGGGGAAUAUUGGACAAUGGGCGAAAGCCUGAUCCAGCCAUGCCGCAUGAGUGAAGAAGGCCUUUGGGUUGUAAAGCUCUUUUAGUGAGGAAGAUAAUGACGGUACUCACAGAAGAAGUCCUGGCUAACUCCGUGCCAGCAGCCGCGGUAAUACGGAGAGGGCUAGCGUUAUUCGGAAUUAUUGGGCGUAAAGGGCGCGUAGGCGGAUUAGUAAGUUAAAAGUGAAAUCCCAAGGCUCAACCUUGGAAUUGCUUUUAAAACUGCUAAUCUAGAGAUUGAAAGAGGAUAGAGGAAUUCCUAGUGUAGAGGUGAAAUUCGUAAAUAUUAGGAGGAACACCAGUGGCGAAGGCGUCUAUCUGGUUCAAAUCUGACGCUGAAGCGCGAAGGCGUGGGGAGCCAACAGGAUUAAAUUCCCUGGUAGUCCACGCUGUUAACGAUGAAUGUUAAAUAUGGGAAAGUUUUACUUU